CAGCCGCCGCGGUAACACCAGCCCCCCGAGUGGUGGGGAUGAUUAUUUGGCCUAAAGCGUCUGUAGCCGGCUCUGUAAGUCUCUCGUUAAAUCCAGCGUCCUAAGCGUUGGGCUGCGAGAGAGACUGCUGAGCUAGAGGGUGGGAGAGGUCAGCGGUAUUUCUGGGGUAGGGGCGAAAUCCAUUGAUCCCAGGAGGACCACCAGUGGCGAAGGCUGCUGACUAGAACACGUCUGACGGUCAGGGACGAAAGCUGGGGUAGCGAACCGGAUUAGAUACCCGGGUAGUCCCAGCUGUAAACUAUGCAAACUCGGUGAUGCAUUGGCUUGAUGCCAAUGCAGUGCCGCAAGGAAGCCGUUAAGUUUGCCGCCUGGGAAGUACGUACGCAAGUAUGAAACUUAAAGGAAUUGGCGGGGGAGCAC
RNAcentral lists this ribosomal RNA (420 nucleotides) under uncultured Nitrososphaerota archaeon. RNAcentral's name for it is "bacterial SSU rRNA". It matches the Rfam family "Archaeal small subunit ribosomal RNA", at positions 459 to 879 of the family's 1478-position model. Lineage: Archaea; Thermoproteati; Nitrososphaerota. The record is from RNAcentral.